UGAGCCCCAGCGAGAGAGCGUUGCCGCAGGCAACGACCCGACGCGCGAAGCGCGCAUCGCUGUGUACUCCUUCCCCCACCACCA
Molecule: small RNA, 84 nt
Filed under: Escherichia coli
Lineage: Bacteria; Pseudomonadati; Pseudomonadota; Gammaproteobacteria; Enterobacterales; Enterobacteriaceae
Description: partial RtT sRNA
Rfam family: RtT RNA
About the family: This family represents a bacterial cis-regulatory element known as RtT RNA.
Source: RNAcentral